RNAcentral lists this ribosomal RNA (510 nucleotides) under uncultured bacterium. Its description in RNAcentral is "partial 16S ribosomal RNA". It matches the Rfam family "Bacterial small subunit ribosomal RNA", at positions 28 to 507 of the family's 1533-position model. The record is from RNAcentral.
GACGAACGCUGGCGGCGUGCUUAACACAUGCAAGUCGAACGAAGAGCGAUGGAAGCUUGCUUCUCUCAAUCUUAGUGGCGAACGGGUGAGUAACGCGUAAUCAACCUGCCCUUCAGAGGGGGACAACAGUUGGAAACGACUGCUAAUACCGCAUACGAUCUAAUCUCGGCAUCGAGGAUAGAUGAAAGGUGGCCUCUACAUGUAAGCUAUCACUGUAGGAGGGGAUUGCGUCUGAUUAGCUAGUUGGAGGGGUAACGGCCCACCAAGGCGAUGAUCAGUAGCCGGUCUGAGAGGAUGAACGGCCACAUUGGGACUGAGACACGGCCCAGACUCCUACGGGAGGCAGCAGUGGGGAAUCUUCCGCAAUGGACGAAAGUCUGACGGAGCAACGCCGCGUGAGUGAUGACGGCCUUCGGGUUGUAAAGCUCUGUUAAUCGGGACGAAAGGCCUUCUUGCGAAUAGUGAGAAGGAUUGACGGUACCGGAAGAGAAAGCCACGGCUAACUACGUG